UACGUAGGUCCCGAGCGUUGUCCGGAUUUAUUGGGCGUAAAGCGAGCGCAGGUGGUUUAUUAAGUCUGGUGUAAAAGGCAGUAGCUCAACCAUUGUAUGCAUUGGAAACUGGUAGACUUGAGUGCAGGAGAGGAGAGUGGAAUUCCAUGUGUAGCGGUGAAAUGCGUAGAUAUAUGGAGGAACACCGGUGGCGGAAGCGGCUCUCUGGCCUGUAACUGACACUGAGGCUCGAAAGCGUGGGGAGCAAAUAGG
This 252-nucleotide ribosomal RNA is filed under the name uncultured bacterium. RNAcentral describes it as "partial 16S ribosomal RNA". It matches the Rfam family "Bacterial small subunit ribosomal RNA", at positions 524 to 776 of the family's 1533-position model. The record is from RNAcentral.